This 408-nucleotide ribosomal RNA is filed under the name uncultured eukaryote. RNAcentral describes it as "SSU rRNA". It matches the Rfam family "Eukaryotic small subunit ribosomal RNA", at positions 570 to 990 of the family's 1831-position model. The record is from RNAcentral.
GCACCCGCGGUAAUUCCAGCUCCAAUAGCGUAUAUUAAAGUUGUUGCAGUUAAAAAGCUCGUAGUUGGAUUUCUGGGAGGGUGCCGAUGUCCACUUAACGUGUGCGCAGCGGCGCCCUCUCAUCCUUCUGUUAACGUCUCUUGGCAUUCAUUUGCUGGUGGCGGGCUCAGAUAUUUUACCUUGAGAAAAUUAGAGUGUUUCAGGCAGGCUAGGCCGGAAUACAUUAGCAUGGAAUAAUGGAAUAGGACUACGGUCUCUUUGUUGGUUUGAGGGACUGCAGUAAUGAUUAAUAGGGAUAGUUGGGGGCAUUAGUACUUAACUGUCAGAGGUGGAAUUCUCAGAUCUGUUAAAGACUGACUUAUGCGAAAGCAUUUGCCAAGGAUGUUUUCAUUGAUCAAGAACGAAAGU